GAUGAACGCUGGCGGCGUGCCUAAUACAUGCAAGUCGAGCGAACAGAUAAGGAGCUUGCUCCUUUGACGUUAGCGGCGGACGGGUGAUUUACACGUGGAUAACCUACCUAUAAGACUGGGAUAACUUCGGGAAACCGGAGCUAAUACCGGAUAACAUAUUGAACCGCAUGGUUCAAUAGUGAAAGGCGGCUUUGCUGUCACUUAUAGAUGGAUCCGCGCCGUAUUAGCUAGUUGGUAAGGUAACGGCUUACCAAGGCAACGAUACGUAGCCGACCUGAGAGGGUGAUCGGCCACACUGGAACUGAGACACGGUCCAGACUCCUACGGGAGGCAGCAGUAGGGAAUCUGCCGCAAUGGGCGCAAGCCUGACGGAGCCACGCCGCGUGAGUGAUGAAGGUCUUCGGAUCGUAAAACUCUGUUAUCAGGGAAGAAAAAAUGUGUAAGUAACUGUGCACAUCUUGACGGUACCUGAUCAGAAAGCAACGGCUAACUACGUG
This 497-nucleotide ribosomal RNA is filed under the name uncultured bacterium. Its description in RNAcentral is "partial 16S ribosomal RNA". It matches the Rfam family "Bacterial small subunit ribosomal RNA", at positions 28 to 507 of the family's 1533-position model. The record is from RNAcentral.